AGUGAACGCUGGCGGUAGGCCUAACACAUGCAAGUCGAACGGCAGCACAGUAAGAGCUUGCUCUUACGGGUGGCGAGUGGCGGACGGGUGAGGAAUACAUCGGAAUCUAUUUUUUCGUGGGGGAUAACGUAGGGAAACUUACGCUAAUAUCGCAUACGACCUACGGGUGAAAGCAUGGGAUCUUCGGACCUUGCGCGAUUGAAUGAGCCGAUGUCGGAUUAGCUAGUUGGCGGGGUAAAGGCCCACCAAGGCGACGAUCCGUAGCUGGUCUGAGAGGAUGAUCAGCCACACUGGAACUGAGACACGGUCCAGACUCCUACGGGAGGCAGCAGUGGGGAAUAUUGGACAAUGGGCGCAAGCCUGAUCCAGCCAUACCGCGUGGGUGAAGAAGGCCUUCGGGUUGUAAAGCCCUUUUGUUGGGAAAGAAAAGCAGCAGGUUAAUACCCCGCUGUUCUGACGGUACCCAAAGAAUAAGCACCGGCUAACUUCGUG
Molecule: ribosomal RNA, 492 nt
Filed under: uncultured bacterium
Lineage: Bacteria
Description: partial 16S ribosomal RNA
Rfam family: Bacterial small subunit ribosomal RNA
Source: RNAcentral